RNAcentral lists this unclassified non-coding RNA (211 nucleotides) under Hevea brasiliensis (rubber tree). The record is from RNAcentral. Lineage: Eukaryota; Viridiplantae; Streptophyta; Magnoliopsida; Malpighiales; Euphorbiaceae.
UCGCCAUUGUUGAGAAUCUUACCUCGACCAUCUCCCCAUGUGAUGUCAAAAUCUCGGUAGAAAUUACCAGAGGCAAUGGCUGCCAUGGAAGAGAAGAUGCAAAGGAGCAAGGGCAACAUUGCACAAAAGGGUAAUGAAUUGUGUGAAGCCAUAAUAUAUUUCCCGAAUAAUGAGAUGUAUAUAGAAAGAAACAAGUAGUAAUUAAGAGAAG